RNAcentral lists this ribosomal RNA (1408 nucleotides) under uncultured bacterium. RNAcentral describes it as "partial 16S ribosomal RNA". It matches the Rfam family "Bacterial small subunit ribosomal RNA", at positions 29 to 1377 of the family's 1533-position model. The record is from RNAcentral.
AUUAACGUUGGUAGUAUGCCUAACACAUGCAAGUCGAACGCGAAAGGUGCAAUGGAAAGGUGCAAUUUGAAAGGAGAAAUCUGAGUAAGGUUGUAUUGAGUAAGUUGUAUUGAGUAAAGUGGCGAACGGGUGAGUAAUGCUUAUCUACUGCCGAUUAGUGGGGGAUAACCACGGGAAACCGUGGCUAAUACCGUAUAUUCUGGUUUCAACCAGGAAAGGAAGUCACAAGAUUUUCGCUAAUUGAUAGGGAUAAGUCGUAUUAGUUAGUUGGUGGGGUAAUGGCCUACCAAGACAAUGAUGCGUAGCCGGCCCGAGAGGGUGAACGGCCACAAGGGGACUGAGACACGGCCCCUACUCCUACGGGAGGCAGAAGUGGGUAACUUAUGGCAAUGGACGAAAGUCUGACCAAGCAAUACUACGUGAAGGAGGAAGGUCAGCGGAUUGUAAACUUCUAUGGGUAGGUAGAGAUACUUACCCUGAAAAAGUCACGACUAACUAUGUGCCAGCAGUCGCGGUAAGACAUAGGUGGCGAACGUUAUCCGGAAUUAUUGGGCGUAAAGGGUGCGUAGACGGUCUAGUAAGUUGGCGGUGGUAAAUCGAGGCCUAACCUCGUGGAAGUUGUUAAUACUACUAGACUCGAGUACAGGAAAGGUUAACGGAACUCAAUGUGGAGCGGUAAAAUGCGUAGAUAUAUUGAAGAACACCAAUAACGGCGAAGGCAGUUAACUAUUCUGUUACUGACGUUGAGGCACGAAAGCGUGGGGAGCAAAAAGGAUUAGAUACCCUUGUAGUCCACGCCCUAAACGAUGAGUGCUAGGUAUUGGAAACUUGAUUUUCAGUGUCGCUAGGUAACCCGGUAAGCACUCCGCCUGGGUAGUACGCUCGCAAGAGUGAAACUCAAAGGAAUUGACGGGGACUCGCACAAGCAGUGGAGCAUGUGGUUUAAUCCGAUACAACGCGUAGAACCUUACCAAGGCUUGACAUGGGAUGUAGUAGCAGCAAUGUUAUUACUAAAUUAGAGAAAUCUAGUUGAAUCUUCACAGGUGCUGCAUGGCCGUCGUCAGUUCGUGCCGUGAGGUGUAUGGUUAAGUCCUAUAACGAACGUAACCCUUGUACUUAGUUACCAGCGGGUAAAGCCGGGGACUCUAAGUAGACUGCAAGGCGUGCUUAUAGCAUGCCUGAACUGAGUAAUCAGGAGGAAGGAAAGGAUGACGUCUGGUCGUCAUGGCCCUUAUGCCUUGGGCGACACACGUGCUACAAUGGUUAACACAAAGCGUUGCCAACCCGCGAGGGGGAGCCAAUCGCAAAAAAUUAACCUCAGUUCGGAUUGGAGGCUGCAACUCGCCUCCAUGAAGUAGGAAUUGCUAGUAAUCGCAAAUCAGCCAUGUUGCGGUGAAUACGUUCUCGA